RNAcentral lists this ribosomal RNA (497 nucleotides) under uncultured bacterium. RNAcentral's name for it is "partial 16S ribosomal RNA". It matches the Rfam family "Bacterial small subunit ribosomal RNA", at positions 28 to 507 of the family's 1533-position model. The record is from RNAcentral.
GAUGAACGCUGGCGGCGUGCCUAAUACAUGCAAGUCGAGCGAACAGACGAGGAGCUUGCUCCUCUGACGUUAGCGGCGGACGGGUGAGUAACACGUGGAUAACCUACCUAUAAGACUGGGAUAACUUCGGGAAACCGGAGCUAAUACCGGAUAAUAUAUUGAACCGCAUGGUUCAAUAGUGAAAGACGGUUUUGCUGUCACUUAUAGAUGGAUCCGCGCCGCAUUAGCUAGUUGGUAAGGUAACGGCUUACCAAGGCAACGAUGCGUAGCCGACCUGAGAGGGUGAUCGGCCACACUGUAACUGAGAGACUGUCCAGCAUCCUACGGGAGGCAGCAGUAGUGAAUCUUCCGCAAUGGGCGAAAGCGUGACGGAGCAACGCCGCGUGAGUGAUGAAAGUCUUCGGAUCGUAAAACGCUGUUAUUAGGGAAGAACAAAUGUGUAAGUAACUAUGCACGUCUUGACGGUACCUAAUCAGAAAGCCACGACUAACUACGUG